Sinocyclocheilus anshuiensis is the source of this 306-nucleotide long non-coding RNA. RefSeq lists it as uncharacterized. Lineage: Eukaryota; Metazoa; Chordata; Actinopteri; Cypriniformes; Cyprinidae. The transcript has 4 exons. The record is from RefSeq and is a predicted model, not a curated record.
CUUAAAUACAAUAAAAUAUUAAAACAGUCAGCUGUUUGAUCAACCAGGAUCAGACAUACACUACCUUUCAAAGGUUUGGGGGUGUCAUGACUUCCUUCAGUUCAUCACUCUCUAGUGAGCCUCUCCAGUGCCAUGUAUGUCUGGAGGUGCUCACUGACCCAAUCACCACUUCAUGUGGACACAACUUCUGUAACAUCUGUAUCGAGGCAUGCUGGGAAAGUGGACAGCUCUAUCUAUGCCCUCUCGAUUCAACUGGAAAGGACACAGGCAGAAAUAAAGCCAGAGCACCAAUGAGAGAAAUAAAGC